RNAcentral lists this ribosomal RNA (253 nucleotides) under uncultured bacterium. RNAcentral describes it as "partial 16S ribosomal RNA". It matches the Rfam family "Bacterial small subunit ribosomal RNA", at positions 524 to 776 of the family's 1533-position model. The record is from RNAcentral.
GACGUAGGGCGCGAGCGUUGUCCGGAUUUAUUGGGCGUAAAGAGCUCGUAGGCGGUUUGUCGCGUCGUCUGUGAAAACCCAUGGCUCAACUGUGGGCUUGCGGUCGAUACGGGCAGGCUGGAGUUCGGUAGGGGAGACUGGAAUUCCUGGUGUAGCGGUGAAAUGCGCAGAUAUCAGGAGGAACACCGGUGGCGAAGGCGGGUCUCUGGGCCGAUACUGACGCUGAGGAGCGAAAGCGUGGGGAGCGAACAGG